This 91-nucleotide small RNA is filed under the name Shewanella halifaxensis HAW-EB4. RNAcentral's name for it is "t44 RNA". It matches the Rfam family "t44 RNA". Rfam says of the family: This family consists of a number of bacterial RNA genes of between 135 and 170 bases in length. The t44 gene is found between the map and rpsB genes in all species in the full alignment apart from Shigella flexneri. The function of this RNA is unknown. Lineage: Bacteria; Pseudomonadati; Pseudomonadota; Gammaproteobacteria; Alteromonadales; Shewanellaceae. The record is from Rfam by way of RNAcentral.
CUAUUGAUAAAUACUAAAUCACACACAUAUCGACACGUUCUUCGGGGUGCCCUAAAUAGGGUCGAAGAUAUGGGAUAUGUGGAGGUCUAAC